GACGAACGCUGGCGGCGUGCUUAACACAUGCAAGUCGAACGGAAAGGCCCUGCUUUUGUGGGGUGCUCGAGUGGCGAACGGGUGAGUAACACGUGAGUAACCUGCCCUUGACUUUAGGAUAACUUCAGGAAACUGGGACUAAUACCGGAUAGGAGCUCCUGCUGCAUGGUGGGGGUUGGAAAGUUUCGGCAGUUGGGGAUGGACUCGCGGCUUAUCAGCUUGUUGGUGGGGUAGUGGCUUACCAAGGCUUUGACGGGUAGCCGGCCUGAGAGGGUGACCGGCCACAUUGGGACUGAGAUACGGCCCAGACUCCUACGGGAGGCAGCAGUGGGGAAUAUUGCACAAUGGGCGGAAGCCUGAUGCAGCAACGCCGCGUGCGGGAUGACGGCCUUCGGGUUGUAAACCGCUUUCGCCUGUGACGAAGCGUGAGUGACGGUAAUGGGUAAAGAAGCACCGGCUAACUACGUA
Molecule: ribosomal RNA, 468 nt
Filed under: uncultured bacterium
Lineage: Bacteria
Description: partial 16S ribosomal RNA
Rfam family: Bacterial small subunit ribosomal RNA
Source: RNAcentral